GUAUUGUAUGAAAGCAGAGAAGGUGAGCACUCCCCUUGACAAGGAUGGAUGAGGCCUGACAACAAGCACACAUACAGUUAAGUCACUGCCACCUACUUUGUGGCAUCUAGCCAUCGUUUUUU
Molecule: small nuclear RNA, 122 nt
Organism: Leptonychotes weddellii (Weddell seal)
Lineage: Eukaryota; Metazoa; Chordata; Mammalia; Carnivora; Phocidae
Source: RefSeq, a predicted model, not a curated record